Molecule: long non-coding RNA, 1289 nt
Filed under: Heterocephalus glaber (naked mole-rat)
Lineage: Eukaryota; Metazoa; Chordata; Mammalia; Rodentia; Bathyergidae
Description: lncRNA (ENSHGLG00000034698.1)
Source: RNAcentral
GAAAGGGUGGACAGCCUGAAUGUCAAGGAGCUGCAGGCGGCAUGCCGGGCGCGGGGCAUGCUGACCCUAGGCGUCACCGAGGACCAGUUGCAGAGGCAGCUGAAGCAGUGGUUGGAUCUGCACCAGCACCAGGAGAUGCCCACACUGCUGCUUGUGCGGUCUCAGGCCAUGAAUCUCCCAGACACUCUCACCUGCUGACCAGCUCAAGUCUACCUCCAGACCUUCCCGGAGAUUGUGGCCAAGGAGCCCCAGGUGAAAGCAUUCGGGUUGCAAGGCGAGCAGGUGUACAAAGCCAAGCUAGAGGCCACGCUGCAGGAGGAGGCCACCAUGUGGCAGAAACACCACGAGAAGGAGCUGCAGUGGGCUGCAGAGGUGUAAGCAGCGAAGGGCGCUGAGCUAGAAAGUGUGGGUGCCACCACUCCCGAUAAGUCUGUGGCCAAGCUGCAGCCGGAGGUGCCUGAUGUGAUCUUGCCCUCUGAGGCCCUGAAGGACACUGCCCCUGUGCUGGAGGGCUUGAAGGAAGAGGAAAUAACUAAGGAGGAAAUCGAUGUGCUGAGCAAUGCGUGCUCCAAGUUGAAGGAGCAGAAGAAGUCGCUGACCAAGGAGGAGGAGGAGCUGGUGCUGCUGACGGAGGACAUCCAGGACCACAGCAAGAUCAAGAAGGAGCUUUCCAAGAUGGGUGAGGACAAGCUCGAGGAGGCAUCGAAAAGCUAUAAGACGCUGACACAGUGGGUGCAGCAGAUGAUCAGGCAGAUCGAUGGGCUCAUCGCCCAGCUGGAGGCGGACCAGCAGGCUGGCAGGCUGGGCGCAGCUGAGACCACGCCCGUGGGGAAGAAUGUCAUCAGUGUCAGAGCUCAUCAGUGCCAUGAAACAAAUCAAGCACAUCCGGAAAACAAGCUGGUCAGCUUGGCCUCUCUAAAUGGACUCAAGCCCUGCAGGACUUUGAACCAACAAUCUUUGUUUGCAUCCCAUUUCCAUCUUUCAGAUGUGACAAAUCCAUCCUGCCAAACGGUGACUACCUUCCAGGCUUCCAAGUUUGGGCACUGAAAGUCCCACAUCCCAGGAAAGCGCACAGUCCCAAGCAAACCGGAAUGCUCCAAAUUAAAGUGUUGUUCCAGCCACCUGACUGCUCAGGCUCCCUCCCAAAGGGACAGAGUGAAAAAUGAAAGAAGAAAGACAUUCCAACCUGCCAGGCAGGAAAUUUGCCUCCAGGUGAACGGCUUCAUCUUUACAUCCAACAGACCCUCAGUUCGGAGGGGGCGCAUCCUACAUCCAGAAGGAAAAAGGCU